GGGAUUAGCUAGUAGGUGGGGUAACGGCUCACCUAGGCGACGAUCCCUAGCUGGUCUGAGAGGAUGACCAGCCACACUGGAACUGAGACACGGUCCAGACUCCUACGGGAGGCAGCAGUGGGGAAUAUUGCACAAUGGGCGCAAGCCUGAUGCAGCCAUGCCGCGUGUAUGAAGAAGGCCUUCGGGUUGUAAAGUACUUUCAGCGGGGAGGAAGGCGAUAAGGUUAAUAACCUUGUCGAUUGACGUACCCGCAGA
This 255-nucleotide ribosomal RNA is filed under the name uncultured bacterium. RNAcentral's name for it is "partial 16S ribosomal RNA". It matches the Rfam family "Bacterial small subunit ribosomal RNA", at positions 237 to 485 of the family's 1533-position model. The record is from RNAcentral.